AUUGCUUUUCGGCCCUUUGGCUAAGAUCAAUGUGUUUUUGUCAGGUCAGUUUAAUAUCUGUAUACGUAUCCAUCCGAACAACAUGUUAAGUGGGUUUUGGAGCAGAGAGGUGGAGUAGGAACUUGCUCCGUCCGUUACACGCAUUUACUUGCUAUUGCAAUGUUUUUAAGAACGGUGCAUCCCCU
RNAcentral lists this small nuclear RNA (185 nucleotides) under Macaca fascicularis (crab-eating macaque). RNAcentral's name for it is "U2 spliceosomal RNA (ENSMFAG00000047618.1)". It matches the Rfam family "U2 spliceosomal RNA". Rfam says of the family: U2 is a small nuclear RNA (snRNA) component of the spliceosome (involved in pre-mRNA splicing). Complementary binding between U2 snRNA (in an area lying towards the 5' end but 3' to hairpin I) and the branchpoint sequence (BPS) of the intron results the bulging out of an unpaired adenosine, on the BPS, which initiates a nucleophilic attack at the intronic 5' splice site, thus starting the first of two transesterification reactions that mediate splicing. Lineage: Eukaryota; Metazoa; Chordata; Mammalia; Primates; Cercopithecidae. The record is from Rfam by way of RNAcentral.